RNAcentral lists this long non-coding RNA (3373 nucleotides) under Sus scrofa (pig). RNAcentral's name for it is "lncRNA (ENSSSCG00025045982.1)". Lineage: Eukaryota; Metazoa; Chordata; Mammalia; Artiodactyla; Suidae. The record is from RNAcentral.
AAAAAAAAAAAAGGAACAUUCGCUGGCAAAUCAUGUGUUUACUUUUGGAAGCAAUCAUUUGCCUAUUGAAUGUCUGCAUGAUUAGACUUUUAUUAGUGUUUUAUUAUGAGAAAGAAUUGUUGUGUGUUCCUGCAUAUGGCAAGAAGCAUUCCAACAAGCCUUCUGCAGAGGCGUUCUGAAUGCCCUAUUUACAUUUUGUGCAGUUCAGUGGCUGAUUGUUCAGAUGAACUGAGUUCACAGUGCCAGCUAUUAUGCCAGUCUUCGUGAGCGCCACUGUGUCUUGGGGUGCUAAUCUACAAGCCCAGCCUUUUCUCUGGAAAAGUGUUUUGAUUUGUGCCCUGUGAUUCUAAAAGCCAUGUUUCUUCUCCCACGGGGAACUUAGGAACUCAUUUGUUACGUUCGCGCCAACCCACCUUACAGUCAGGUAUGUGCAGCUCAGUCUGACCCCAGACAUUAUGUGAUAGCAGCUUUGAGCUCAGAGUUAUUUACACUCAACACUUUUCUGCAAGGUCAGCAGAGGCUGAUGUUUAUACUCAAUGCCGUAAGUUUAGAAGGAAGCCAUGGAAAACCUCUAGUUGAGCUGGAGAGCAGAUAGCAUCUCCAGGCUCAGCUUUCCACUCAUCUUCCCUUUCUCUUUCUGACUGCUAUAAAAUCUUCAAACUUACUCACCUGGACUUAGACUCACUUCUUUACCUUUUAAUUUUGUGUGUGUUUUGGGAGGAAGGGGAGUGAGAUUGCAUGAUUUACGAUGGUGAGGGAGUGGGCUAUUGGGGAGCAGUGGGUAGAAGCGACUCGAUGCAGUUGGUAGAUGUAUUUGGUUUGAGUCAUUGACAGACAUCAGCAUGUCAUUAAAUUAUAGAUGAUGUACUCAGCUUAAUGAGAGAAUGAAUUUCAUAAGAAAUUGAAAAUAUUUCAGUACAUUAUUAAAUGGUGGUUAUUAUAGAUAAUCCUCUGGGGCCAUCUUCUUUUUCAAGUAAGUUAUUUAAGCAAAAGACUAAAUCAGCCUUUCGGUUCCAUCUUUUCUAGUCCAUUAAAAUUUUAGUUUUACCUGUAUGAUAAAUGUAAGAUCUUUCUGAAGACAGCACACCUGUAUGCUCAGAAGAGGAACAGCAUCAGAAAUCGUAUGGAUGGCACUUUCAGUUUUCAGAUUCCUGCAUACCCUCUGAUUGUUCCCAUCACCACACCCCGGGCAUACAUAUAAAAUUAAUAUGGCGGUGAAAGGUUAAAAGCUUUGAGAAACAAGUUAAAAGAAAUCUUUCUUUUGUUAUAGGUGCUAUUUUGUUUAAUGAAUCUCAUCCACUUUUUGUUUUUGCUUUUAAACUUUAGAAACGACAUAAAGCUGAUAAUGCCGUGAACAAGAAACAGACACAAGUUUUGAGAAAUGGUGCUUGGGAAAUUGUGCACUGGGAAAAGGUAUGCAUUGGUUUUUAUUUUGUUACAGGAGAAGGAUUGCAUAGAGGUGUACUCUCGUAGAUGUAAUUUGUGUGUGUAUAAUAGAGGUAAAUGUCAAGGUUUCCACUGCUAUUAAAGCUGUUUAGUAACUAAUGUAGUAAACACACAUGGACUCUUCAGUCACUUUAUUUAAUAAUUUAAUAAGCCCAUUUAAUAAUUCUGCAAUAUGUUACAAAGACCGUUAUCUCAAAGUCAAUUAGAACUUUUUGUUUCUUUCAUAGUCUAUUUUGAGUACUAUGUGCAUAGAUUUCAUUUAACCGUGGACUGUUUUGUGUCCUACUUAUUUUGCUUCAAUCAUCUACUGUCCAAGUAAAACAGAAAUUAGAUUCUGAUAGUUGGCAUUUGUUUAUGUUCCUUCAGACUCAUAUGUUGUGACUAAUCACGUUUACACACUGCUAAUUCAUUUUUGUGAAAUAAAAUCUUACUAAACAUCAUUUUCCAGUAAUCUGGAAAUCAGUUCCAUAACUUCAAGAGGUUAAUUUACUCACAGGCCCUCUAACAUGGCAGGUAGCAAGUUGAGUCAUAAUUUCACAAGUGUUUUCCAAGUGUUUGUGUGCUUUUCAGAUCUCAAUUUCAGAAGGUAAGCGCUGAUUGUUAGUUCUCCCUUAGUUCUGGAAGGCCCUUAAACUGCUAGUCAUCCGAAGCGAAUAACCUUCAUCACUUGGUAAGAGACUUUUGGAAGUGAGGCCAUUCUACUCAGGGGACCUGGGGAUCUGAGAUUGCUAGGACAACAGAGGAGUAACCCACACUCAGUUUACUUGCACUCUGGUAUUUCCCAGUUAAAGGCCGUGCCCUUGAUUCUACCUUGUGAUGUUCAGAGUCCCCUGAAUUAGUUGCAUUUUUAUGGACUUUAAAUCAGUGUCUAGAACAGAGAUGGACAUCUCCUAUUCUGGAUUUCCAAAAACUCACUCCGCUCUCCCUUUGGUCUUUGACAUAAACAUAACAAAGAGAAAGAUAUUUUAAUUAUGCUUUCCUUAUUUCUGUGAUAGUCACCUCCCUCAGAGGAGCAAGAUAAAAAAAACAAAAAUCUCAAUUUACUGUUUGAAAAGAAGUUUCUGUAUACUCUUGUAUGGUACUUGUGGAUUUAAAUACUUCAGAGAGAAGACAAGUAGAAUAUCAUCAAGUAUGAUAAAUUGAAUUUGACUAUAAAUGUAUUUCAUUGACUAGGUUAACAAUAGUGCAUAUCCUAAUAAACGGAUAUAUCAGUUUCUUCUUAGCUAGAGUGGCUGCUUAGAAGAUGAACAGUUGUAAAGUGAGGAGAUAACAUCUCCUACUUCACUAAAAAAUUAACCUGUUAAAAGGGUCUUAUUUUCCUACUAGACAGUCCUACUAGACUGAAUUAUUUUAACUUUUCCAAUUUUUCACAGACCAGAAAAAAAAAAUUACCAGCCCAUGAUUACCCACAGUGAUAGCAUCCUCAGUUGUCUUAGAGACAAAUGCCACACCUUAAUCCCACUUUGAGAUGCAGAGAGGUAGAAUUUAAAGUGUUGCCAAAUCAUCCAGCCCAAAUGAGCUGAUGUUACUUGAUGAGUAGAAGUAGAUACUUAAUUAAUCAGAAUUAAUAAAAGUUGGUUCAAUGAUGAGUUCAAGAUAAAUAUUCAUAAAUUGAUAUUACUCUUUUUUCAGCAAUAGCAAUUUUGAAGAAUACAAUGAAAAAGAUAUUUCAGGAGUUCCCGUGGUGGCUCAGUGGGAUAAGAACCCGACUAGUAUCCCUGAGGAUGCUGGUUCCAUCUCUGGCCUCACUCAGUGAGUUAAGGAUCCAGCAUUGCCAUAAACUGUGGUAUGGGUCACUGAUGCGAGUCGGAUCCUUUGUUACUGUGGCUGUGGCAUGGGCUGGCAGCUGCAGCUCCAAUUCAGCCCUUGGCCUGGAAACUUCCAUAUGCCACAGGUACAGUCAUAAGGAAAAAAAAAAAAAAAAAAA